CGCUACCCUCCACUCCCGGAUCAGUUCGCUUGGUUUUCCGCCGGCUCUCCGGACUCAGCUACCCCAACUUCAGGGGUUAACCACACUAAGCGCGAGCUACUGCGCGUGGAGAGGGCGAGUCCACUUCCUGCUUGUAAAUAAAAACAUUGAAAACGCCACUGACCUGUGUCGGCUG
Molecule: long non-coding RNA, 175 nt
Organism: Fundulus heteroclitus (mummichog)
Lineage: Eukaryota; Metazoa; Chordata; Actinopteri; Cyprinodontiformes; Fundulidae
Exons: 2
Source: RefSeq, a predicted model, not a curated record